UACGGAGGAUGCGAGCGUUAUCCGGAUUUAUUGGGUUUAAAGGGUGCGUAGGCGGACGCUUAAGUCAGCGGUAAAAUUGCGGGGCUCAACCUCGUCGAGCCGUUGAAACUGGGUGCCUUGAGUGGGCGAGAAGUACGCGGAAUGCGUGGUGUAGCGGUGAAAUGCAUAGAUAUCACGCAGAACUCCGAUUGCGAAGGCAGCGUACCGGCGCCCAACUGACACUGAAGCACGAAGGCGUGGGUAUCGAACAGG
Molecule: ribosomal RNA, 252 nt
Filed under: uncultured bacterium
Lineage: Bacteria
Description: partial 16S ribosomal RNA
Rfam family: Bacterial small subunit ribosomal RNA
Source: RNAcentral